RNAcentral lists this unclassified non-coding RNA (382 nucleotides) under uncultured Pseudomonadota bacterium. RNAcentral describes it as "uncultured proteobacterium contains 16S-23S intergenic spacer region". Lineage: Bacteria; Pseudomonadati; Pseudomonadota. The record is from RNAcentral.
UCCGAGUUGACCCCGGCAGUCUCCUACGAGUCCCCGGCAUUAUCCGCUGGCAACAUAGGACAAGGGUUGCGCUCGUUGCGGGACUUAACCCAACAUCUCACGACACGAGUUGACGACAGCCAUGCAGCACCUGUGUUCCCGCCAGCCGAACUGAAGGAUCCCGUCUCCGGGACCCAUACGGGACAUGUCAAGGGUUGGUAAGGUUCUGCGCGUUGCUUCGAAUUGAACCACAUGCUCCACCGCUUGUGCGGGCCCCCGUCAAUUCCUUUGAGUUUUAACCUUGCGGCCGUACUCCCCAGGCGGUCUACUUAGUGCGUUAGCUGCGCCACCAAAACCUCAAGGGUCCCGACGGCUAGUAGACAUCGUUUACGGCGUGGACUAC